UAGGGAAUCUUCCGCAAUGGACGAAAGUCUGACGGAGCAACGCCGCGUGAGUGAAGAAGGAUUUCGGUUCGUAAAACUCUGUUGUUAGGGAAGAAAAAAUGUAUAGUAACUAUAUACAAAAGAGACGGUACCUAACCAGAAAGCCACGGCUAACUACGUGCCAGCAGCCGCGGUAAUACGUAGGUGGCAAGCGUUGUCCGGAAUUAUUGGGCGUAAAGCGCGCGCAGGUGGUUUAGAAAGUCUGAUGUGAAAGCCCACGGCUCAACCGUGGGGGGUCAUUGGAAACUAAUAAGCUUGAGUGCAGGAGAGAAAAGUGGAAUUCCUAGUGUAGCGGUGAAAUGCGUAGAGAUUAGGAGGAACACCGGUGGCGAAAGCGGCUUUUUAGCCGGCAAAUGACACUGAGGCGUGAAAGCGUGGGGAGCAAACAGG
RNAcentral lists this ribosomal RNA (429 nucleotides) under Verrucomicrobiota bacterium. RNAcentral's name for it is "Verrucomicrobia bacterium partial 16S ribosomal RNA". It matches the Rfam family "Bacterial small subunit ribosomal RNA", at positions 355 to 776 of the family's 1533-position model. Lineage: Bacteria; Pseudomonadati; Verrucomicrobiota. The record is from RNAcentral.